GUCUACGGCCAUGCCACCCUGAAUACGCCUAAUCUCAGCUGAUCUCGGAAGCUAAGCAGGGUCGGGCCUGGUUAGUACUUGGAUGGGAGACCACCUAGGAAGACCAGGUGCUGUAGACG
RNAcentral lists this ribosomal RNA (119 nucleotides) under Pteropus alecto (black flying fox). RNAcentral also lists the same sequence under 1 other name. The record is from RNAcentral. Lineage: Eukaryota; Metazoa; Chordata; Mammalia; Chiroptera; Pteropodidae.